This 559-nucleotide ribosomal RNA is filed under the name Saccharomyces cerevisiae (brewer's yeast). RNAcentral describes it as "eukaryotic LSU rRNA". It matches the Rfam family "Eukaryotic large subunit ribosomal RNA", at positions 83 to 658 of the family's 3401-position model. The record is from RNAcentral. Lineage: Eukaryota; Fungi; Ascomycota; Saccharomycetes; Saccharomycetales; Saccharomycetaceae.
GUACGGCGAGUGAGCGGCAAAAGCUCAAAUUUGAAAUCUGGUACCUUCGGUGCCCGAGUUGUAAUUUGGAGAGGGCAACUUUGGGGCCGUUCCUUGUCUAUGUUCCUUGGAACAGGACGUCAUAGAGGGUGAGAAUCCCGUGUGGCGAGGAGUGCGGUUCUUUGUAAAGUGCCUUCGAAGAGUCGAGUUGUUUGGGAAUGCAGCUCUAAGUGGGUGGUAAAUUCCAUCUAAAGCUAAAUAUUGGCGAGAGACCGAUAGCGAACAAGUACAGUGAUGGAAAGAUGAAAAGAACUUUGAAAAGAGAGUGAAAAAGUACGUGAAAUUGUUGAAAGGGAAGGGCAUUUGAUCAGACAUGGUGUUUUGUGCCCUCUGCUCCUUGUGGGUAGGGGAAUCUCGCAUUUCACUGGGCCAGCAUCAGUUUUGGUGGCAGGAUAAAUCCAUAGGAAUGUAGCUUGCCUCGGUAAGUAUUAUAGCCUGUGGGAAUACUGCCAGCUGGGACUGAGGACUGCGACGUAAGUCAAGGAUGCUGGCAUAAUGGUUAUAUGCCGCCCGUCUUGAA